This 253-nucleotide ribosomal RNA is filed under the name uncultured bacterium. Its description in RNAcentral is "partial 16S ribosomal RNA". It matches the Rfam family "Bacterial small subunit ribosomal RNA", at positions 524 to 776 of the family's 1533-position model. The record is from RNAcentral.
UACGUAGGGUGCGAGCGUUGUCCGGAAUUACUGGGCGUAAAGAGCUCGUAGGUGGUUUGUCGCGUUGUCCGUGAAAACUCACAGCUCAACUGUGGGCGUGCGGGCGAUACGGGCAGACUGGAGUACUGCAGGGGAGACUGGAAUUCCUGGUGUAGCGGUGGAAUGCGCAGAUAUCAGGAGGAACACCGGUGGCGAAGGCGGCGACCUGGGUAGAUACUGACGCUGAGGCGCGAAAGCGUGGGGAGCAAACAGG